UACGGAGGGUGCGAGCGUUAUCCGGAAUUACUGGGCUUAAAGGGUGCGUAGGCGGCCAAGUAAGUCAGGAGUGAAAGUUUGCGGCUCAACCGUAAAAUUGCUUUUGAUACUGCUAGGCUGGAAUUAGGAUGAGGUCAGCGGAAUGUGGCAUGUAGCGGUGAAAUGCAUAGAUAUGCCAUAGAACACCAAUUGCGAAGGCAGCUGGCUAGACCUGGAUUGACGCUGAGGCACGAAAGCGUGGGGAGCGAACAGG
This 253-nucleotide ribosomal RNA is filed under the name uncultured bacterium. Its description in RNAcentral is "partial 16S ribosomal RNA". It matches the Rfam family "Bacterial small subunit ribosomal RNA", at positions 524 to 776 of the family's 1533-position model. The record is from RNAcentral.